This 725-nucleotide long non-coding RNA is filed under the name Glycine max (soybean). Its description in RNAcentral is "long non-coding RNA (GMAX_LNC001024)". Lineage: Eukaryota; Viridiplantae; Streptophyta; Magnoliopsida; Fabales; Fabaceae. The record is from RNAcentral.
UUGAUUUAAAAUAGAGGAAAUGAAUCCUGAGCCCUAGCAUCACAUGACCAUAAAAAUUUGACUUUUGAGUGUCCGCAUAGGUGCAUGCAUGACCAGUUUUGCAUAAAGUUUCCAAAUCAUCAUUUUUGCAUUUGUGUCAUGGAAAUAAUGUGGGGCAUCCCUUUUAUCCUUGAACCAAACCAAACCCCGACAUGUAUCAUGUCUAGCCAUUCUACAAACCUUGAGCCAAAAUCCUGACUCACCAUAAUCCUUACCCUCGGAAGCAAAAAGGAAGAGAAGGAAAAUUCCCAAUCAAAGAGUGGGAGAAAGCAAAAGGAAGAGAAGGAAAAUUCCCAAUCAAAGAGUGGGAGAAAGCAAAAAGAAAAGAAAGGAAAUUCCCAAUCAAAAAGUGGGAGAAAGCAAAAAGAAAAGAAAGGAAAUUCCCAAUCAAAGAAUGGGAGAAAGAAAAAAAAAAGAGAAAAGAAGGAAAGAAAGCUCCUGAUCAAGGAUCGAAAGAAAACAGAAGAAACGUGCAGAGAGGUCUUUGGACCAGACGAUAUCUGAACAAUACAGAAUUGUCACCACAUGAACAAAAAAGAAGGAAAGGAAACCACGACCUAAAAUGGUCUUCUCCCUUUAAUUACCAACCAAAAUCCCGUGCGCUAGCGACCCUUUUUUUUCUCGCCCCGCACUAAACAAAAACAGAAAAAGAAAAAGGCCAGAAAAAUCAAAAGCCAAAAACACAC